RNAcentral lists this ribosomal RNA (229 nucleotides) under uncultured bacterium. RNAcentral's name for it is "partial 16S ribosomal RNA". It matches the Rfam family "Bacterial small subunit ribosomal RNA", at positions 568 to 796 of the family's 1533-position model. The record is from RNAcentral.
UGCGCAGGCGGAAUAAUUAGUCAGUGGUGAAAUCUCCCGGCUCAACCGGGAAACUGCCAUUGAUACUGUUAUUCUUGAGUAUAGUUGUAGUGGGCGGAAUAUAUCAUGUAGCGGUGAAAUGCUUAGAUAUGAUAUAGAACACCGAUCGCGAAGGCAGCUCACUAAACUAUAACUGACGCUCAGGCACGAAAGCGUGGGGAGCAAACAGGAUUAGAUACCCUGGUAGUCC